UUAUUUAGUAACUCCCUUUAACCGUAGGUUUAGUAGCAAGUUUUAGCAACAAAAGCUGAAUCAACCAGUCAAUCGACUUCACCAUUUGCUAUCCGAUCUUCAAUAAGUGUAAAUUGCUUCAACAUAAUUUGAUUGUUUACAUCAAACACCAUUUUAAUGAUGACUAUCUUUUCUGAACAUUUUUGGAGUUUCUUCUCCAUUCUUUAUUUCUUCAUUCGUUUCCAAAUCUACUAUUAAACUUGAUUUGUGUCAAUUGUGAUUAAUAACAAUUUUAAAAUGAUCUGAUUUGCCUUCAUUGUAAAAUAAGCCACCAAAAUUAUUGUCGGUCCAAGAUGAUCCAUUUUGGUAUGAUUAUUGGUUUCUUUCAACGAAAUAUCAUGCUUCUGGCUCUUGAUUUCAUAUUAACCUUUAUCACCAUUGCUUUAUUUAAAUUUCUGAUCACCAUUGAGCCAUCGGAUUACCGUAUUACUCAUAGCUAUUAAUAGUUGCUCAUCUACUCUUAAGACUUGUUGACCGUUCAAGCAAGAGUCAUCAAGACUGAUUAAGGAAUCCAAUCUGAUUCAAAUUAAAAAAAGACCAGAUAGGAUUAAAGAAAGAAAAUCAACAAAAACUUGAAUCGUAAAGCUUGGAUUGAUGAUACCAAAUUCAAAAUCGUUCAUUUUAAAUUGUAAUUAUCUAAUGUUUGAAUUGACCAAAUAAAAUAUGUCCAAUUUUAAUGGAAA
This is a long non-coding RNA of Tetranychus urticae (two-spotted spider mite), 722 nucleotides long. RefSeq lists it as uncharacterized. The record is from RefSeq and is a predicted model, not a curated record. NCBI's taxonomy places the organism in Eukaryota, Metazoa, Arthropoda, Arachnida, Trombidiformes, Tetranychidae.